CAUGCCCCCUUUUUUGGCAUAUUCGCCACUUUUUGCAGUUCUGUUUACGUGAUUUGCAUUAGUGGUACAACCUUUUACCCUGCCCAUUGAUUUCCUGCUUCACUGGGCACUGCUAGUAGGUCUCGAUUUACUUGACAGAUGUAAGCAUACAUUAGAGGGAGAUUAGCAUAGGGUAUGUCCUUUAUUGUAGCUGCAUCCUAUGAGUUCCCUCCAACACCAUUUCCACCAGAUACAUGACACUUGUGCAGCAUAAGUGUUUUUGUGUUUUUUGUUAAUAAGGUUCUGUAAUU
Pelobates cultripes (western spadefoot toad) is the source of this 290-nucleotide non-coding RNA. Lineage: Eukaryota; Metazoa; Chordata; Amphibia; Anura; Pelobatidae. The record is from the annotation of a GenBank genome assembly.